Molecule: ribosomal RNA, 820 nt
Filed under: uncultured bacterium
Lineage: Bacteria
Description: bacterial SSU rRNA
Rfam family: Bacterial small subunit ribosomal RNA
Source: RNAcentral
AGAGGUUGAUCCUGGCUCAAGAUGAACGCUAGCUACAGGCUUAACACAUGCAAGUCGAGGGGCAUCGGGAUUGAAGCUUGCUUCAAUUGCCGGCGACCGGCGCACGGGUGAGUAACGCGUAUCCAACCUUCCGUACACUCAGGGAUAGCCUUUCGAAAGAAAGAUUAAUACCUAGAUGGUAUGAUGAGAUUGCAUGAUAGCAUCAUUAAAGAUUUAUCGGUGUACGAUGGGGAUGCGUUCCAUUAGGUAGUAGGCGGGGUAACGGCCCACCUAGCCAACGAUGGAUAGGGGUUCUGAGAGGAAGGUCCCCCACAUUGGAACUGAGACACGGUCCAAACUCCUACGGGAGGCAGCAGUGAGGAAUAUUGGUCAAUGGACGAGAGUCUGAACCAGCCAAGUAGCGUGAAGGAUGACUGCCCUAUGGGUUGUAAACUUCUUUUAUAAGGGAAUAAAGUGAGCCACAUGUGGCUUUUUGUAUGUACCAUACGAAUAAGGAUCGGCUAACUCCGUGCCAGCAGCCGCGGUAAUACGGAGGAUCCGAGCGUUAUCCGGAUUUAUUGGGUUUAAAGGGAGCGUAGGCGGACUAUUUAGUCAGCUGUGAAAGUUUGCGGCUCAACCGUAAAACUGCAGUUGAUACUGGUCGUCUUGAGUGCAGUAGAGGUAGGCGGAAUUCGUGGUGUAGCGGUGAAAUGCUUAGAUAUCACGAAGAACUCCGAUUGCGAAGGCAGCUUACUGGACUGUAACUGACGCUGAUGCUCGAAAGUGUGGGUAUCAAACAGUGAUUAGAUACCCUGGUAGUCCACACAGUAAACGAUGAAUA